GUUGACCUCGGAUCAGGUAGGGAUACCCGCUGAACUUAAGCAUAUCAAUAAGCGGAGGAAAAGAAACCAACCGGGAUUGCCUCAGUAACGGCGAGUGAAGCGGCAAAAGCUCAAAUUUGAAAUCUGGCUCCUUCGGGGUCCGAGUUGUAAUUUGCAGAGGAUGCUUCGGUUGCGGCCCCCAUCUAAGUACCCUGGAACGGGUCGUCAUAGAGGGUGAGAAUCCCGUAUGGGAUGGGGUGUCCGCGUCCGUGUGAAGCUCCUUCGACGAGUCGAGUUGUUUGGGAAUGCAGCUCUAAAUGGGUGGUAAAUUUCAUCUAAAGCUAAAUACUGGCCGGAGACCGAUAGCGCACAAGUAGAGUGAUCGAAAGAUGAAAAGCACUUUGAAAAGAGAGUUAAACAGCACGUGAAAUUGUUGAAAGGGAAGCGCUUGCGAUCAGACUCGCCUACGGGGUUCAGCCGGCUUUCGGGCCGGUGUACUUCCCCGUGGGCGGGCCAGCGUCGGUUUGGGCGGCCGGUCAAAGGCCCCUGGAAUGUAGCGCCUCUCGGGGCGCCUUAUAGCCAGGGGUGCAAUGCGGCCAGCCUGGACCGAGGAACGCGCUUCGGCACGGACGCUGGCAUAAUGGUCGUAAGCGACC
This 635-nucleotide ribosomal RNA is filed under the name Aspergillus chrysellus. Its description in RNAcentral is "eukaryotic LSU rRNA". It matches the Rfam family "Eukaryotic large subunit ribosomal RNA", at positions 1 to 649 of the family's 3401-position model. Lineage: Eukaryota; Fungi; Ascomycota; Eurotiomycetes; Eurotiales; Aspergillaceae. The record is from RNAcentral.